This 253-nucleotide ribosomal RNA is filed under the name uncultured bacterium. RNAcentral's name for it is "partial 16S ribosomal RNA". It matches the Rfam family "Bacterial small subunit ribosomal RNA", at positions 524 to 776 of the family's 1533-position model. The record is from RNAcentral.
UACGUAGGGUGCGAGCGUUAAUCGGAAUUACUGGGCGUAAAGCGUGCGCAGGCGGUUUGUUAAGACAGAUGUGAAAUCCCCGGGCUUAACCUGGGAACUUCAUUUGUGACUGGCAAGCUAGAGUAUGGCAGAGGGGGGUAGAAUUCCACGUGUAGCAGUGAAAUGCGUAGAGAUGUGGAGGAAUACCGAUGGCGAAGGCAGCCCCCUGGGCCAAUACUGACGCUCAUGCACGAAAGCGUGGGGAGCAAACAGG